RNAcentral lists this ribosomal RNA (253 nucleotides) under uncultured bacterium. Its description in RNAcentral is "partial 16S ribosomal RNA". It matches the Rfam family "Bacterial small subunit ribosomal RNA", at positions 524 to 776 of the family's 1533-position model. The record is from RNAcentral.
UACGAAGGGGGCUAGCGUUGCUCGGAAUUACUGGGCGUAAAGGGCGCGUAGGCGGAUAUCUAAGUUGGGGGUGAAAUCCCGGGGCUCAACCUCGGAAUUGCCUUCAAAACUGGAUAUCUCGAGUUCGGGAGAGGUGAGUGGAACUCCGAGUGUAGAGGUGAAAUUCGUAGAUAUUCGGAAGAACACCAGUGGCGAAGGCGACUCACUGGCCCGAUACUGACGCUGAGGCGCGAAAGCGUGGGGAGCAAACAGG